This 1070-nucleotide long non-coding RNA is filed under the name Apteryx rowi (Okarito brown kiwi). Its description in RNAcentral is "lncRNA (ENSARWG00000013552.1)". The record is from RNAcentral. Lineage: Eukaryota; Metazoa; Chordata; Aves; Apterygiformes; Apterygidae.
UUGGGAUUUCCGGAAUAAAGACCACACAACAACUAUCAGCUUCCAGGGAAGUCACUCCUUACUGGAAAACAAAGCACAUAAUUGCCUUGAAUUCAGCUUAAGCAAUAUUAAUAGAGGAAAAGCACAGUCACAGCUGUUGGGGAGAAUCCUUUGGCAGCUCUUCAGAUUUUUGAGCAAUGCCUCCUGGACCGGUUGUGAUCAUCUCUCAGGGUGGCAUCUUAUUUGUGCAUGCCUGAGCCUUGGUGUCUGCCAGACACACUAAAUGUGGUUAACUGCAAAGAAACUCACUGUUCUCUCACAUUUACCGUUUAUCACAAGGCCAGCAAGGUGAACUAUCUACAGGAGCUGCACGGGGACAAGUUUAGUGCCCAACAUCUUCAGGUGGGCAGGAGCAUCCACCCAUCCAUUCACACAUUCAGGGUGUGUAGUAAUGUAGCGCUCAAGGACAGUGGCCCAGGAAUAUGGAAAUUUUUUUUUCUUUUUUUUUUUUUUAAACAGAAUAACAGUACUGGAAGCAGCUGAAGGCAGGAGAAUUAACAAGUGGUGGGAGACGUAAGACCAAUUUUAGGAGCUCCAGGCUUGUUCCUUAGUUCUUAAGAAAUGUUUGAAAGAUGACUGGAGAUGCUCAUCAUGAAGGUGUUCUGUUCCUGAUUUCCACUUCCAGACAUGGAAAGACCACGCUGUGUCCAGGGAAACCGGGAGCCCUAGGAAGGACCAAGGGCUGAUGUUUCGUUUAUGGUGUGGCACCGUCCUGGAUGCCGCAGGUCAUGCGAACAUCCUGCUUGAAAGUUUCAUCUCCGUUCCGCUGUGGAGCUGAUUAAAGGACUCCUCGGCCUCUUGCAAAACCUAGCACUUAUAAAUCUCUGCUGUUGGAUGCCAUAUCCAUACUGAGGUGGUGUUAAGUCAUAAGUCCCUGGGGGUCCAUAGCAUUGCUUCAGGGAGACACAGUGGCUUUUUCCCCAAAGGUUGUUUCAACAAAUGAAUAAUUUUUAGAAGAGUUACUGAGCAGGUGGAUCUCAAGGACCAGCCAGACUCAUAGUUCAAUAUAUGGUUGUACACAUACACACCUA